This is a long non-coding RNA of Gymnodraco acuticeps, 719 nucleotides long. RefSeq lists it as uncharacterized. Lineage: Eukaryota; Metazoa; Chordata; Actinopteri; Perciformes; Bathydraconidae. The transcript is spliced from 3 exons. The record is from RefSeq and is a predicted model, not a curated record.
CUCGAACCGAGUAGUGAAAACCGGACUCUGGCGAGAGAUUGAAACGCAACUUGGUUUCUCGGAGAAAGAGCUGAGGAAGAAUUGGGAUUCUCUGCGAACCCAGUACACCCGGUAGGCCUACAGGAAACUUGCCCCUAGUUGUGGAGCACAAAGGACUGGCAGACAGCAGUGGAUCAUAACCAGGCUGCAGUUUUUAGAGCCCUAAGCACUUUGAAUUGCCUUGUGUUGAAAAGUGCUAUAUAAAUAAACUUGCCUUACACAAGAAGGAAGGAGAGUACUUCGAACCUCACCAUCACGGAACGUCCGGUGGCUGCAGAAUCACCCCCCGGUGGCACCAACAGUGAAACCUCGACCAGCACCACGAGGAGUCCUUCCACUUUGAUGCUGAGCCCUGCACUCCCCUGGCAGAAUCCACCAUCUGCACCACACCGGCACCGCGGCUCGGAGAGAGGCCAAGCACACUCAGCACUCGAAGGCCUCCGGCGAAGCGCAGGAUGAUGAUACUAAAUGAGAUACUGUCUACAGCUGUUCAUUGUUCAAGAUUGAAAUGUAAAUGUGCAAGCCGUUUUUCUGCCCCUCUAUUCACAUGUAGCCUUUCAUACGUGAUGGUUUCUUCAUUCUCGAACUGUUGUGGAGCAGAACUAUACAGUUGCAGGAUUAGUCUCAAGUACCUCAAUAUAAUUAUAGUAUGUCUGCACUUUGUGCUAAUUUCAUCAUUC